GCGGCAAUAGCUCAGUUGGGAGAGCGUUAGACUGAAGAUCUAAAGGUCCUGCGUUCAAUCCGCAGUUGCCGCA
This 73-nucleotide transfer RNA is filed under the name Stachybotrys chlorohalonatus IBT 40285. Its description in RNAcentral is "tRNA-Phe (GAA) (tRNA-Phe-GAA-1 1 to 3)". It matches the Rfam family "tRNA". Rfam says of the family: Transfer RNA (tRNA) molecules are approximately 80 nucleotides in length. Lineage: Eukaryota; Fungi; Ascomycota; Sordariomycetes; Hypocreales; Stachybotryaceae. The record is from RNAcentral.